RNAcentral lists this ribosomal RNA (525 nucleotides) under Escherichia coli. Its description in RNAcentral is "bacterial SSU rRNA". It matches the Rfam family "Bacterial small subunit ribosomal RNA", at positions 1001 to 1526 of the family's 1533-position model. RNAcentral also lists the same sequence under 1 other name. The record is from RNAcentral. Lineage: Bacteria; Pseudomonadati; Pseudomonadota; Gammaproteobacteria; Enterobacterales; Enterobacteriaceae.
CAGAGAUGGAUUGGUGCCUUCGGGAACUGUGAGACAGGUGCUGCAUGGCUGUCGUCAGCUCGUGUUGUGAAAUGUUGGGUUAAGUCCCGCAACGAGCGCAACCCUUAUCCUUUGUUGCCAGCGGUCCGGCCGGGAACUCAAAGGAGACUGCCAGUGAUAAACUGGAGGAAGGUGGGGAUGACGUCAAGUCAUCAUGGCCCUUACGACCAGGGCUACACACGUGCUACAAUGGCGCAUACAAAGAGAAGCGACCUCGCGAGAGCAAGCGGACCUCAUAAAGUGCGUCGUAGUCCGGAUUGGAGUCUGCAACUCGACUCCAUGAAGUCGGAAUCGCUAGUAAUCGUGGAUCAGAAUGCCACGGUGAAUACGUUCCCGGGCCUUGUACACACCGCCCGUCACACCAUGGGAGUGGGUUGCAAAAGAAGUAGGUAGCUUAACCUUCGGGAGGGCGCUUACCACUUUGUGAUUCAUGACUGGGGUGAAGUCGUAACAAGGUAACCGUAGGGGAACCUGCGGUUGGAUCAC